AUUGAACGCUGGCGGCAGGCCUAACACAUGCAAGUCGAGCGAGCGGCGGACGGGUGAGUAAUGUAUGGGGACUGCCCGAUAGAGGGGGAUAACUACUGGAAACGUUGGCUAAUACCGCAUACUCUCGGAUAACCCAUAUGGGAUUAGCUAUUAGGUGGGGUAAAGGCUCACCUAGGCGACUCUCUCUAGCUGGUCUGAGAGGAUGAUCAGGGAAACUGGGACUGAGAAACGGCGCAGACGCGUUUGGAGGCAGCAGUGGGGAAGAGUGCACAAUGGGCGCAAGCCUGAUGCAGCCAUGCCGCGUGUAGGAAGAAGGCCUUAGGGUUGUAUAGUACUUUCAGCGGGGAGGCGUUACCCGUAGAAGAAGCCCCUGCUAACUCCGUUCCAGCAGCCGCGGUAAUUC
This 403-nucleotide ribosomal RNA is filed under the name uncultured bacterium. RNAcentral describes it as "partial 16S ribosomal RNA". It matches the Rfam family "Bacterial small subunit ribosomal RNA", at positions 30 to 526 of the family's 1533-position model. The record is from RNAcentral.